CCUACGGGAGGCAGCAGUGAGGAAUAUUGGUCAAUGGACGAGAGUCUGAACCAGCCAAGUAGCGUGAAGGAUGACUGCCCUAUGGGUUGUAAACUUCUUUUAUAUGGGAAUAAAAUGUUCCACGUGUGGGAUUUUGUAUGUACCCUAUGAAUAAGGAUCGGCUAACUCCGUGCCAGCAGCCGCGGUAAUACGGAGGAUCCGAGCGUUAUCCGGAUUUAUUGGGUUUAAAGGGAGCGUAGGUGGAUUGUUAAGUCAGUUGUGAAAGUUUGCGGCUCAACCGUAAAAUUGCAGUUGAAACUGGCAGUCUGGAGUACAGUAGAGGUGGGCGGAAUGCGUGGUGUAGCGGUGAAAUGCUUAGAUAUCACGAAGAACUCCGAUUGCGAAGGCAGCUUACCAAACUAUAUCUGACGUUGAGGCACGAAAGCGUGGGUAGCAAACAGGAUUAGAUACCCGUGUAGUC
RNAcentral lists this ribosomal RNA (460 nucleotides) under uncultured bacterium. RNAcentral's name for it is "partial 16S ribosomal RNA". It matches the Rfam family "Bacterial small subunit ribosomal RNA", at positions 338 to 795 of the family's 1533-position model. The record is from RNAcentral.